GACGAACGCUGGCGGCGUGCCUAAUACAUGCAAGUCGAACGCUUCUUUCCUCCCGAGUGCUUGCACUCAAUUGGAAAGAGGAGUGGCGGACGGGUGAGUAACACGUGGUAAACUACCCAGUCAACGGGGGAAAACCGUAGAAAACAGCGGCUAAUACUCUAAACCGUUUUAUUCCCAAGGGAAAAACGGUCAAGGCGUCUUUCGGGGUUGGCUCCGCGGUGCAUUAGCGAGUUGGUAAGGUAACGGCUUACCAAGGCAACGAUGCAUAGCCGACCUGAGAGGGUGAUCGGCCACACUGGAACUGAGACACGGCCCAGACUCCUACGGGAGGCAGCAGUAGGGAAUCUUCGGCAAUGGACGAAAGUCUGACCGAGCAACGCCGCGUGAGUGAAGAAGGUUUUCGGAUCGUAAAACUCUGUUGUUAGAGAAGAACAAGGACGUUAGUAACUGAACGUCCCCUGACGGUAUCUAACCAGAAAGCCACGGCUAACUACGUG
RNAcentral lists this ribosomal RNA (497 nucleotides) under uncultured bacterium. Its description in RNAcentral is "partial 16S ribosomal RNA". It matches the Rfam family "Bacterial small subunit ribosomal RNA", at positions 28 to 507 of the family's 1533-position model. The record is from RNAcentral.